RNAcentral lists this long non-coding RNA (6049 nucleotides) under Equus caballus (horse). Its description in RNAcentral is "lncRNA (ENSECAG00000056400.1)". Lineage: Eukaryota; Metazoa; Chordata; Mammalia; Perissodactyla; Equidae. The record is from RNAcentral.
UGUCAAGAAAGUCUCAUUAUUAUUCAGAUUUACGAAUCAGAACUGAAGUUAAGUGACCUUUCCAAGGUCAUACUGAAAGUAUUUUAUUUGCCAAAACAAAAAGACAAAAAACCCAAAUUCCAUCCCACAAUGCUCGAAUCAUCUGGAGUCCAAUGAAUGCGUGUUACCCAUUGCUCUGAAGGCAGGAGGCAAUACUAACACCUUUCCUGCAGGGUUGUUGCCCUGAAGGUGAAACGUGGCAGUUAAAAAGGGGGGGGUGGGGCAAAAUUCCGCUCGCAGUCACUGCGAGUAACUCCUCCCAGAUGGAUGCUGUGCGGACGGCAAUUGUAAACUCUGGACAAAAGAAUAAUUAUGUGGAGUACCAUCCAGGUCAAUCUCCAAUUACAACCCCAUUCUUCUCUCCAAGAGCACUGACCAUCUCGAUUUUGCAGUAAUGAUUCUCUUGCUCUCAUUUAAAGACUUACUAUUGUGCUGUAUCUGGACAUAUGGGAUGCUUCCAACAGCAUUACAAACAACGCUCCUCUGAACAAUCUUGACUGUAUCUCCUGCUGCAGGUCUUCAGCUUUAAUAAUGUCACACUGUUUUCCACGGUGCUUGCGCCCCUUCGUAUUCCCACCAGCAGUAAACGAGUGCCGAUAGCUCUACAUUUCAACCAACACGUGGAAUUACAAUGCGUUUUAAUUUCUGUUGCCAAUUUUGUGCAUGUAUGAUAGAGAUCUACUUUCCAUCGUGUGGGAUCCUGGAUUUUGUUUCAUGUCCAUGUUCAAUUGUAAAAAUUACACUAUAUGUUUUUAAAAAGCAAAUUUGUCUUUACAAGACCAUUUUAAAAUCUUUGCAUACAAAUAUGUUAGGUGCUUACAGAUUUUUUUCUUCUGAAAAAUUUCCUUAUAAAAAUAGAAUGUGCUAUUCAUCAGCAUGUCCUAUUUUUGGGGCAAAUAUGGAUGGAUGGCAGAGCUAGAAUUUUAACCUGUGUGUCUCUCUUACUCCAGGCUCUUUCUCUUGUCUUUAGGAGAGCAUGGUGGCAGGCAGCUGGUCUUUUCUUGUUUUAUUUUGAUAUAAUUUUAAGCAACUUGCUCUAGUGGGAGCUCCUGAUGGCUGCCCCCUAGUGGACUCCAGCGAGACUGCGCUCACCGGAUUGUAAGACGCUCCCCCUGCCUCACUCUGCUCAUUCCCGCUGAAGGGCAAGGCCUCUGCUCUGUGUUAGCACACUGCUUCCAGCAGAGUGUAAACAAAUCGAUAAUCCCGUGUGGCCACGGGGUAAAGAAGUGACAUUCUUACCCCUGCAGAAGGAGUACACUCUUGGGGACCGAGAUCAAGGUGGGCCUAUAGCGUCACCGCUUUGGUUUCAAAUUUGGUUGGGUAUCAGACUGAAGAGGAACAGCAGGCUUUAACUUAAUACGGUUUCUCAACCUCAGCACUAUUGACAUUUUGAGUUAGAUAACCUUUUGUUGUGGGGGUUGUCCUGUGCAUCGUACGAUGUUUAACAGCAUCCUUGGCCUCCACUCACUAGAUGCCAAUAGCAUCCUUCCUCUAGUUGUGACAGCCCAAAAUGUCUCCAGACAUUGCCAAAUGUCCCUUGGUGGACAAAAUAGGCCCAAUUGAGAAACACUCUUAUAGGGGGAUAGAAAGCAGGAGAUUCAGCUCGCACAGUUCUCCAUCCCGUCAGGAGGGCCAGCAGUACCAGGUACCGCACAGCGUCUGUUGCCCCCUCACCACACAGCGCGUGAGCUGCCCUGACCAGAGCCAAGGUGUGCGUGAGUCACCUUCAUACGGAGAAGCCUUGGCCUUGAUUUAGCACCAAUCUUUUAUGUCAUAUUAGUCACAUGGGCCUGAGACGAGCAUGCAGAUUCAGAGAGCCUCCGAUACAGGUGCAUUUCCACAGGGCAGAAGAAACUGUCACAACACUCCACGCUUCUCCUGCACUGGCAGAACUCAGAGACCUGAGGUCGCUGCCAGGUAGGCCUGCCCCAGCCCAGGCCUGAAACAAAUUAACCCUUUCCUCACACUGCCACAAAACCCCACCAAGCACGGUAGAGUUGGUUUGUUAAGUGCUUCCCCACCUUGCAGAGAUGCUGUCUCGCCACCACCCCACCAAAAAAAGACCAAACCUCAGGCUUCUGUGUUACCAGGACCUGCAUAACCUUGGCAGCCUCCAUCUAAGUCUACUUUCAGCUCCUCCAAUCCCUACAUCCCGAUGAACUUCGUGGGGCCAUCCAAAAUCUAGGCUUCUGGAGUGGCUUGCGGUGGCUUACUUUGCUCGUCCAUUUAAACUCCUUUAUAUCACGUACAUUGGCUGAGUUAAGGUACAUUGCCUAUAUCUGGAAACAUUUGUCAGCCUGUAGAGACAUCUUGAAACGUUCCCUUGAAAGAAAAGUUUGGGGAAAUUCACAGGCCAUGAUUCCACGCCGGUGGGACACCACGAUGCUUUCAAACUCUGGUGGCUUCUUACAUGGCAAAGUAGUCUAGGGAACAUUGGCAGCUGUUGGAAAUGUGCUGGGGGCCAAGGAAAAUCAAAGAGUUGCCCCUCCUUCUUGUUAAAUGCCUCAGACCCUCAGAGAUCCUUACUUUACUCCUCUCCCAGGGCCAUAGAGGAAUUCAGGGGAAACAAUCUUUUACCCCCAGUUUAGGUUGCUGGAAGGAUAACUUGUAAACUUGGAUUUACUGAUGGCCAUUGGGGAGACCCAGCUUGGAACGGAGUUUGUCCAGUGGAGUUCCCCUAGAAGCAGAUCCUGCGACAAGGAUAUUAGCCCUGAGCUAACUACUGCCAAUCCUCCUCUCCCUGCUGAGGAAGACCGGCCCCAAGCCAACAUCCUCCGUGCCCAUCUUCCUCCACUCCAUACAUGGGAUGCCCACCACAGCAUGACACCAAGCGGUGCCAUGUCUGCACCCGGGAUCCAAACUGGUGAACCCCAGGCCGCCGAGAAGCGGAACGUGAGAAUGCAACCGCUGCGCCACUGGGCCGGCCCCUCACUUCUCUUGAAUCGAUGGAACCUGAGUUCGAGCCCUGGUCAACUCUGCCAUUUCCUGUCCAGACUGAUCCCUGGGACCAAGUAUUGGAGAAAAAGGCAAGUCUGCAGUUUACUAAAGCUGUGGACAUCACUUAACAGUUCCGAGGCAGCAGUUCUGAUCAGCAGGAUGGCUCUAAUCUGCAUGAUUUUCCUGGGACCCAAGUUCCUUCCAUCAUGAUGCUUUGCCAUGUUAGGCCACUAACCCUGUAUGCACAGUCAAGGAUUCCAGCCAGUGAGAAAGGGAAAGGACACAGAGGAGCCACGCCCAGGCUCAAGGUCUGGGCACAGAUCACUUCCACUUGAGUCCAUUGGCAAGAACUGAAAUGUCAUAACACCUAACCGCAAGGGAGGCAGGGGACGUGUAGCUCAGCCACGCACCCGGAAAGAAGGAGAGAACGGGUCUGCAGGAGAGCUCAUGGCGUCCAGGGACCCUCCAAGCAAGAGGCAAACCCACCUGGGCAUCUGUCUGCGCACAGUGAGGUCACUUUCCUGUUCAUGAUGUUUCUUCUCCAUGCUUGCCCCUUCGUGUUUCUGUGAGAACAAUGAGGAAGGGAGUAUCAGCUGGCUGCCAACUAAAUAUGCCUGGGCUAGACUGUUGGAUGAUGAGAGACGCAUGGACCCACCAUCUCCCCAGAUGCCAGCCAGCCAGCUCCCAAAGUAGAGCCCCCUGCUGCCUUGGCAGCUGACUGUGGACGCAUGAGCAAGCCCAGCCAGGACCAGCAGAAUUGCUCAGCUGAUCCCAGUCUAAAUUGCUACCUUAUGGAUUGUGAGCUACAAAUAAACGGUGGUUGUUUUAAGCCGUUAAGUUUUGGGGUAGUUUGUUUCACAACAAAAGCGGAGCGUUACGGGAAGUAACCCAGAGAUUAGCAACAGCAGGGAGUCACUGCUAUGUUAGGCUGUAGAGACAAAGGGAGGAGGCAAUAUAGCCAGGGCCCAGAGCUCCCAAAAGAUGAGGAACGAGGCGUAGACAUAUCCCAUGGAGGCUCAGAGGAACAGAGUAGCUGGAGGAGAGGCAGCUGACUGCAGCAGACAGGGGGAAGAAAUACCCUGGCUUUUCGCUUUAUCUGCCCUCCAGUCUCCCACCAGGGCCUGCCAUCAGCUGAGCUCAGCUGGCAGCCAGUUGGGACGAGAGCCUGGAGAUGCAGACUUCAGGAGUCAGCCUUUCUGCAACAGAGAGCAGAGCCGGGGAAGGGCUGGGAAUGGAUCUGAGGGCAAACAGGCCCAGGACUGACACUACACAUCCUUUAGGGGAAAGAAAAGGAAGUGAGUUCACUGAUUGAACUUUCAAAACAGCGCAAUUGCAUUCUCUUCUUUGUGUUUUAUUCCCUGCUCAGGAAUUUAGCUCAAAAUAAAAAUGAAUUCUAGCAACUGGAGAACUGUGAUUGCAAGUGUCUCAACUUUUUACAAAAUAUUCAACCAAGCUGAAUUAGCCUAUUUAUAAAAUGUUGCACCCACAAUGCCCCAUCAAAACGCAAAUCAUCAAAACAGCCUGAAUGACGCUGGAGUUAGGUCAAAAAACACAGAAGUUUUAAAACACCAAUUUGGUUAAUUUUAAUUCAUUCAGCAACCAUUAAAAACUUUUUGUAUGCCGAUCAAGUACAAUGAAGGGUGAUGCCACAGAUUUGCACACACAUCUACACACAGAUAAUUGGAAUAUAGUACAGAUGUUGUCAUUGAGGUAUGAAGGUGGGGGUCAUUUAAGCUGGGUUUUGAAGAAUAAGUUAGAGUUCACCAGAUGGAAAAGAGAAAGAACAGUUUUUCAGGAGGAGUGUGCAAAGGUUCAGAGACAAGAUGUCAUAUUUAAGAAACUAUAAGUACUGUAGCUUGGUGUGGCUGGAACACUGAGUGUGGGAGGAAUAUGGAGAGAGAUGAGGCCAUAGAUGUGGCAGGGGCUAGACCAUAGAGGCCUUAAAUGUUGUGCUGAGGAGUUUGCCCUUUAUAGGCAAUUGGGAGACAUCAGUAUUUUUAUUUUAGUAGAUUUUUGAGAAUUAAAAAUAAUACAUGGGCACAUGUACGGUGACGGAUGGUAAUUAGUCUUUGGGUGGUAAGCAUGAUGUAAUCUACACAGAAAUCGAAAUAUAACGACGUACACCUGAAACUUAUGCAGUAUUAUAAGCCAAUGUUACCUCAAUUAAAAAAAAAUACAUGUUUAUUUUAAGGAGCUGAAAGAUGACAUAAAAGGUGAAAAGAGGUCAUGAUCUCUGCCCUCUUUUAUCCUUGAGGUAGCCAGGGCUAGUAAUCAGGACACAGCUUUCUCUUCUCCAGGGUUGGUUGGUUUUCUUAUUUGCUGUGGCUUGGAGUGCAAAAAAUACACUUAUUACUCUGCAACUUGCUUUUUUCCCUUAACAACAUGUGGACAUCACUCCAGAUGAGUUAGAUUUAACUCAAAUAUUUCUUCAGCCAUUCUCUUACUGGUGGGCAUUCAACUUGUCUGUUUUUAGCAGUUACAAUAAUAUUGUGGUAUGCCUCCUUGACGAUGAGUCUGGGGAUAUUGGGCUCUCGUUUCAGUAAAAUAGAUUCUGGGUCAAUGGAUGUUUGCAUUUUUUAUUUUAAUGGAUGUGUCUCAAUUACUUUUUUAAUAGGUUGCAGCUAUUCCUAUUUCUCAACACUGUCAAACAGAACUGGACAUUAACACUUUUUCACUUCUAAAUUUAGGCAAAUGUAAUGAAUGAAAGAAAGGCUGUAUUGGUUUAAUUUGCAUUUCCUUGACUUCUACUGACACUGAGCAUCUGAUCAUGCUUAUUGACAAUUUGCAUGUUCCCUUAUGUGAAUUGCCAGCUCAUUUUUCUAUUCAGUUGUCUUUUUCUUAUCAACUGGUAAAAGUUCUUUGAAUAUUAGUAAUUGUUAAUUUUUAUCCAUGUGUUUUGCAAAGGUUCUCAUUCCACCUCAGAUUAUCAGUUGCCUUUUUUUUUUUAAAAGUCUUUUUAUUUGGAAAUGAUUAGAAACUAACAGGGUGUUGUGAAAAUGCUAGAGUCCCAUGUACCUUCAGCCAGCUUCUCCCAAAGGUAGCAUCUUACAUAACUAUAGUGCAAUAUCAAAAC